Molecule: non-coding RNA, 229 nt
Organism: Pelobates cultripes (western spadefoot toad)
Lineage: Eukaryota; Metazoa; Chordata; Amphibia; Anura; Pelobatidae
Source: the annotation of a GenBank genome assembly
GAACUGAACAGAACCCCCACAUUCAACCUAUCCCCAGAUGGCUUGGAUCUGAGCGCUCAAUAUAUCCAAACAGCGCUCAGAUCCCACAAAUACAGUCAAAUCGCCAUACACACUAGGUCCAUAGUCAUGGGGCAGAAAGCUGGCAAUUAGGCUUCUCCAUAACACAGGGAAGCAGGGCAAUUUGUCAAAUAAAAUAACAGUUACAAAUGGCAGUUUGUAACAACGUGUG